AAAAUAAAAAAUAAAGAUAAAGAGACUGCUGCUGGAAGAAAGAGCCAUCAAUAAAUUCUUUUCCUUUCGUCUCUUACGAUCGUGUCUUUUUCUUUUUUCUUUA
RNAcentral lists this non-coding RNA (103 nucleotides) under Prorocentrum minimum. Lineage: Eukaryota; Dinophyceae; Prorocentrales; Prorocentraceae. The record is from RNAcentral.